This 253-nucleotide ribosomal RNA is filed under the name uncultured bacterium. RNAcentral's name for it is "partial 16S ribosomal RNA". It matches the Rfam family "Bacterial small subunit ribosomal RNA", at positions 524 to 776 of the family's 1533-position model. The record is from RNAcentral.
UACGUAGGGUGCGAGCGUUAAUCGGAAUUACUGGGCGUAAAGCGUGCGUAGGCGGUUAUUUAAGUCGGAUGUGAAAUCCCCGGGCUCAACCUGGGAAUUGCAUUCGAUACUGGAUAGCUAGAGUUCGGCAGAGGGAAGCGGAAUUUCUGGUGUAGCGGUGAAAUGCGUAGAUAUCAGAAGGAACAUCAGUGGCGAAAGCGGCUUCCUGGACCAGAACUGACGAUCAGGCACGAAAGCGUGGGGAGCAAACAGG